AGGGGUGUGGAAUAAGCUCAUUCGUGUGUUGUUCUAGCAUCGAGCGUUAGCGAGAAAGGAAACGUUGAAACACAGAAAUGAGAGAAUAUCGUUCGCUUAGCUGUUCGCCGUCAACGAUUCGACUGGACGCCGUUACCAUCGUCUACUCGCGUGUGUAAUCAGUGCGAGCAACGGAAAACUCAGAGCCAAGCACGGAGUCACCCGCGAUAACACCGUAAGUGGUCGUUUUACAUCGACGAGGGAAGAUAGUACGAGAAUCCAUAUUUCCGUGGAAAUAAAUUAUAACGCGGGGGUUCGUAAACGAGCGAACAGCUGACACCGCGAGCUGCUAAUCGCACGAACGCGACUUGAAAACGUCGUGAACAGCCGGUCAGCUGAGAAAACGGCUCUCGUGGGUGUGGAACAAUCCGGUCUAGGGCGAUUGAUUGUGUGGGUGUCGCGGUCGCUGCAGAGACGUCGAAGAGCGCCAUCGUCGUCUCGGCCGCCACGUGAAUCGCAAACACUGAGAAGAAUACUUGUAGCGUUGAAUAUCGUCUGGAAGCGAGGCAUACGUGGCACGGAUUUCCUCGUAUGAUCGAGGCUACGCGUGUAUUCUACCGCUCGCAUUAACGCGUUUCUUGUGUCGAUUCAUUUUCCAAGGAUUCGUCUGCUUUCAACUUGUGAAAUUUUGUUGAUCGCACCUCGAUGUUUUUGAAGAAUUUUACGAUUAAUUUUGCUGUGAUACAACACGACGUUACGUUGUUUUAUAGUUGAAGAAGACGAGAAAAUACAUACAUGGAAGAGUGUUUUUCUGUGCACGAUUCGAGGCUGAAGAAGAAAAAUCCCGAGAGCCAGUAGAUAUUAUACCCAGUGACCCGUUUCCGUUCGAAAUCGAUGAAAUUCCGAAAACGUUUGACAGAGGUCAGAAACACGACCACGUAGCCAUUAUUAUCGUAUCGUAUCCGAUUGGUCGCGCGGCCGUCAACGCGACACUUGGCUAGUGCUGAAACGCGGACUGGUCUCGUUUAACCGGUGGCAGAAGCGCUCCACCUGCGCCCGCCGUGUAUAGGAUCGCGUAUUCCCCUGCAAAGUUCAAGAACCUGGGCUUCGUGUGUACGGCAGAAACGAGUGCACCAACGGCACCCGUGACCCGUUUUCGUUUUCAAUCGAUGUACUCGUGAACUGGGCCGCUCGUUCGCUUGAAACCUCGAUACCUCGCGAGGUGUUCGACCAUCAAAACAGAGGGAACAGGGUAAACAAAUCUGCGAACCGUGAAUCAUAGAGUACAAGAUACGAUAGUCGUAUAGACAGAGAUACACGAGGAAGAAGAGUAGAUUAAGAUAAAGAAAAGAAUCGGAGCACUUUAGAGAGAAGCAAAGAGAGCGGGGGAGAGCAGUGCGCACAUUCUAACCUCGCAGCCGCCAUAUCGAGGACGCGAGGAGGAAGCUCGUCGAAGGUCGCUUUCGAGGAACACCUGGGGGACAGCCCUCGUAUCGUUCCAUGCUGGCUUCGAGCGGAGAACUAGGAUCGGGGACGGAAGAGAGAAUGCGAGAACCUCCACACAGCCUGUGAAACAUGAUUUGUCAUACAGAUGCGGUCGUUGGUAAUCGUACGACGAGAGAUAACGACGACGAGGACGCCGACGGAGACGAGGAUCACGGAUCUAUCCAGCGUCGCGUCGAUGCCUCGACGAGUCUCGAUGACGCUCGCAUGAGAGCCAGCCUCGAGGCGGACGAUAAGACGCGUACGAACAAGACAGUCCGGUGUCGAGUGGCUUCCACUUGUCCAGUCGAACGUCGGGCGAACUGGUCGUCGUCGACGGGCUUCCAAGCUGCGUACCGAUCGUCACCGAUUGUCAUCGUCUUGUAUGCUGUGACAAACGGCAUAAACAGCAGCGACAGAAACAGCAGCAGCGGGACAAGCAACAGCCAGUGGAAGAUACGAAAGCGAGAGCACGGCAUAAUCUACGCUCGUCGAAGGCGUACCCGUGUUGUCGUGGCCAGCUGCGCCGAUUACCAGGUGUCGGAUGACUCCCCCCGUACGCUACAGCCUUCCCGUAGUCGUAGAAAGGACGCGAUAUCCCGUAGGAACGAGCGUUGUCGCGCGGCGAGCGAUCCUCGUCGCGGUACCUCAUCGGCGGCGUCGUCGGUGCUGCGCCGGCCCGCGCGUCGCGCUAAACUCCUCGCGAUUAGACCUUCCCGUGCACGUUCCUAUCUUACGUCCGUGAUGGCGGCUGUACCUGAUAUGUCGCACCUCACCCCUGAGGAGAGGAGCACCAUCGAGGAGGUUAUAAUAAGGCAGAAGCAGGAGGAGGAAAAGGAAAAUGAGAUUAUGAGACGGAAGCAGGACGAGGUGACGAUCCUCGAGGAAAGGAUACGGGCCUGUUCGGAGAAACACAAGAAGGCGGGAGUGGAGUUGCACGCCACGUGUCACAUAUGCCUGAAAACCAAGUUCGCCGACGGCGUCGGCCACAUCUGCAACUACUGCAGCAUCCGGUGCUGCGCACGCUGCGGCGGAAAGGUCACUCUACGGUCGAACAAGGUAAUAUGGGUGUGCAUUCUCUGUCGCAAGAAGCAAGAAUUGCUGUCGAAGACCGGACAAUGGAUAACGAAGGCGGGCCUAGCAGCCGGGGACAACGCGAUGCUGCGACGGAUGCAGGACAUGCAGGUGGGUGGUCCUCCGGGACUCGUGGACCAAACUCAGGAUAAAAGACCGAAACUCGAGAGAGCGCACAGCGCGGCUGAAAAGGAGAAUUUACCAUUGUUACUAAGGAGCGGAAGUUUGCUCAGAAGACAGUACUCUCAGCAAGAGCAAGGCCCAGGGCGUCGACUGCCAACGAGCGAUAGCGGAGUGGAUAUGUCCGUUUCGCCUCACUCGAGAAGUCUGCCGACGCCCCACGUAGCUUCGCCGCAUCAGAUGCAACAACCGCCAAGGCAUCCGGACGCGUACGCGGAGGAUGACCCGAAUCUGUACAGAGGCGAGAUCGACGGUCUUAUGAAACAACAGAACUACCAGAGACAACGACCGAUCUACCCGGAUCAGAACACGGAUCUCGCGAUGACAUACGGUCAACCAACGGUAGAAGCGGGCCCACCACGAAGCGCUGUGCAUCCUACUCAGCAACACUCGGUGCAUCAAACGCAAAGCGCGCACCCACCGCAACCGAUGGGUGGUCAGGUUGGUCUUCAGCCUCAGAGAAGCUUCAGCAGCAGCGAGGAAGAGCGAAGCACACCCGAGUGUGCUAGCGACGAGCCUGACGAGUCCGAGAAGGGGAAGGGGUACUACCACCAUACGGGAGGUCCGAUAUCAAUGUCCAGCGGUGGACGUAGGCACAACGGACCUCACAACGGGCACCACAACAUGGCCGCGAUGACCAUCGAAUAUAACGGUCAUCAUCCACCGCGAGAGCCGCGAAAAGAGGAGAGCACUCUCGUGAGACGGAGCUUCCGAAGGAGUGGCGACGAGUGGCGCUCCGACAGUAGGAGGUUCACGGAGAGGAGGGGGAAAAAGACAGUGCGAUUUCACGGUGGGACCAAUGUCGGCGGCCCUCAGGAGGAUUGGUCUUGGGAGGCCGAUCGGCAAGGUAGCCAAGACAGCGCGACCAAAGACUCCGGAAUAGACACCUCUAGCACGUUCACGAGCAGUGAGGACAGCAACAGGGGCGACCUGCCCAAGCAUCCGUUAUCCUGGCAAGUGAGCAGAGACGGUCAGAAGAUCAUUGGCCACAUGGUGUUGCGAAAGCAGCCCGGAAGCGGCUCCGCAAGCAGUAGUAGCAUACUGGGGCUGAAAGUGGUCGGCGGCAAAUUGUUGGAGGAUGGCUCUAUGGGCGCCGUCAUCGAGAAGGUCAAGAAGGGUAGCACGGCUGACAUAGAAGGUCAACUGAGACCCGGUGACGAGGUGAUCAAGUGGAACGGCAGGUCCCUCCAGGGCAAAAGCUUCCGUGAAGUUUACGACAUCAUCGCCGAGUCGAGACAGGAGCCUCAAGUGGAGCUGGUAGUUUCGCGGAAUCUAUCGUCGACGACGGGUCCGGUGACGAUGCCUGCGGGGCUGACACCUACAGCGCCGAUGCCGUCAAGGAAGAUCGCCGCGCAGAUCCAAUGGAGACAAAAGCACCCGGAGACGAUAUCCGGGCCACAGCAACCGCAUCACAAAGGUCUUAAGAAAUGUAUUCUAUGGGAGUUAUACGACGCGAGGCGCGAGAAACCUUCGGUUUUAGUGACCUCGCCGGGCUCGCCGGAUCUUCACGCUCAAGGACGCGCCAGGCACCUCCGACACACUUCCGGCAAUGCAAACGUCGGAGGUAAUCUUCAGGUGAAGCUGAGCUUCGAUUCCGUGGCGCUACGGUUGAUCGUCACGUUGAUCUGUGCGGCUGGGCUCACGCCCAGGAGCAACGGCCAACCCAGAAAUCCCUACGCCAAGAUCUUCCUGCUUCCGGACAAGAGCGAAAAGUCGAAGAGACGAACGAAGACGUUGGCGAACACGAACGAUCCAAAGUGGAACCAGACGUUCAUCUACGACGGAAUCAGGAGGCCAGAGCUGAGGAAAAGGGCGUUGGAAGUAACCGUGUGGGACUACGGGAAGUACGACACGAACGAUUUUCUCGGCGAAGCGAUACUGGAACUGGCGACAGCUCAUCUCGACGAGGAGCCCGAGUGGCAUCCGCUGACCGGCCACGGGGAACACCGACAUAUUGGAUACUAUCAGGAGCCCGAUGACAUGGUGAUAACUCCGGUGGACUGCCAUCUCAGUCCACCGUCGACGACGUCGCGGCUGAGCGACUCUGACACUUCCGAAUGCGAUAUCACGGACUGCGACGUCUCCAGGGAGCAAAGGAGAACAGCUGACGGUGCCAGUAUAAGCAGUAUCGGCAGUUCCUCCAGGUUUCAUAAUAUGCCGUCAAAUUAUAAGCGCCACUAUUCUAGUCCCCCGCCGGAAAGGGAGCUGUGCAUCGACGGGGAGCAUCGAAGUCGAAGGGACAUGUCGCCGCAGGGGCGUAAACGGGCCGCCAUCAUGAUACGGGAUCAGCCAGCGUCUAUUUCUGGUUACCAGACCUAUCGCAAGGACGAUAUUCAUCGAGGAAUGAUGGGCCACAGGUCGCAUAGUGCAGCACCUAUGGACUCGCCGAGCCUUCGGUAUCGCGGAAGGUCUCAAAGUCCCACCGGUCAUCGCUCUCUGUCUCCGCCGGAACAUAGAUCCAUGCUUUACUCGCACGGCUACGUUCCACCCAGAUUCAGCUCGAGGUCAGCGACAGCCACUCCCACCGGAAGUCCGAAGAAGAGACAAUUGCCUCUGAUUCCGACGGCUCUGAAGGAAAGGGCUGUUCAGGAUCCCGAGGAACGGGCGAGAUUUAUGAGACACCGCAAUAGGCAGGUGCAUACCACGUACAGGAGUACGGGUACGGGAGGUUGGGAAAAACACUAUAGCGGACUGUCGGAUUCGGAUCUGCUCUCGAUAGAUCAGGAUCCGUUAUCUUUGCCGCACAGUCACCCUUAUCGAAUGCACAGACCGCGAAGGGGAAAUUUAAGUCCUGACAAAGACGUACUUGGUGAUCUUGGUGACUCCGAUAUGGAGAGUAUAGCCUCCGUGACGAGCAGUGCCUUCAGUACGCAAUCGGAACGACCACGUGGCUCUAGAGGACUAAUCGAGUACAGUCAGUCGGGCUCGUACGAGAAGCCGUCCAGGACCCAGCCAGGCGAUAACGAGCACGACGACCAUAAAAGGGGACAGUUCACCAGGAGUCUUAGUAAUACCGACGCGCCACAGGACGAGAAAGUUGACGGUAGUUUGAGCGAUACGGCGAUCGGUUUGAACGUGGAGGACUCCUCGAGGAGGGGUCGCAAGAGUUCGCCCGGCAGUAAAAGCGGAAGCGGAAGUAGCAGCGGUGGCGGAAGCGCGGUGCAGUAUCAGUCAGGUCUCGGGAAGAAGAGUAACAGCACUAGUCAGCUGUCCGCCACAGAGUGCGGUAUCGGCGGGAUCUUCGUCGGAAGCGGUGUCGCGGAGGCACGCGCCGGUUUAUCGAGCCGGAAACGCAACAGCACGCCGAGCAGCAUACAGCGUUCCGAGGAGAUCGUACCCUAUCAACGCUUUGAAUCCGGGAAACAGUCGGGAUCGUUGGCCAGUGACACAGCCGGAAGUCUCAACUCGAUCUCUAGUUCCGAAGGAAGCUCUUGGUCUCCCAGUCUACGAAUGACAGGCGAAACCGGCCAACUGAGAGAUUUCAUCGAAGAUCUUGGGCCUGGCCAAGUGGUCGGAAGGCAGGCACUUGGUGCUCGCUGCCUUGGCGAGAUCCAGCUUUCGCUCACCCAGAAGAAAGGCUACCUUGAAGUGGAGGUCAUACGUGCCAAAGAUCUUAAACCGAAGCAGGGCACUAAAGCUAUUCCAGCUUCCUACGUGAAAGUUUACUUGGUGAACGGAAAGAAGUGUAUCGCGAAAGCGAAAACAAUGGCAGCCAGAAAAACGUUGGACCCGUUCUACCAGCAGUCGUUAGCCUUUAGAGAAAAUUGCCGGGGUUGUAUACUGCAGGUAACAGUGUGGGGUGAUUACGGCCGAUUAGAAGGGAGAAAAGUGUUCAUGGGCAUUGCGCAGAUCGUGUUGGACGAACUGAACCUCAAUGAGAUGGUGUUCGGGUGGUAUAAGCUGUUUGGCAACAUAUCCCUGGUCAGUGGACCUCCAUCCUUAGCUUUAUCCCGUCGAUCCUCGGCCACGUCCUUAGAGUCCUUUAAGAUUUAAAGAACUCUUCCAUCUAGUAUUCUCUUUACGUGUAAUCCGACGGUGGCUCGAGCUUCUUUUAAUUCCCGACGGAAAGAGUAAGAAAAAAGCCAAAAAAAAGAAGGUAUCGAGUCUAUUCUUAAUCGCGUUUGUCCAUAUAACGUAUACAUUUUCUUUUUCAAAGUGAAUCCAUAUAUAAUAGUUGUUUGCAAAUAUUCAAAGAUCGUUUAAAGAAGAAUAAAACGCGUACAUUAUAAGUAAAAUUGACAAAGAUUUUCAUGGAGAUUUCUCGCGAUACAUGUCCGUUCCAUUAUUCCCCAUUGUAAAGAUAUUCGUGUAUUAACGUUCGAAAUUCGAGUACGAUUUAUCGAUAGACCGUCGGCUCUGAAUACGGUAAAAGAAAAGUCAGUUACGAACGAUGUCAAUAACGAGAAGAACUAUAUAAUAUAGAGAGAGAAGAGUUUGCGUGGCUAUAUUGGGCAAGUGAGUUCGUGUUGUUGAACAAAACGAGAAAAGUGUGUUUUAUUUGCAAGGUAACCGCGAGAAUGGGAAAAGUGUGAAAGGUCGUACGAGAGGACAUGUCUUUCUAGAAACACCACUAGCACAUCACAUAUCAUGUACGGCAUAUCAGAUGAGCCACUAGUCUUUAUGUAGACUAGAUGUAGAGAUAGCAGCCAUGUUCCUGGAGCGCCAGAUAGUUUUAGUGAAAGCAACGCAGAGAUACUCGAUACAAGAUCGAUACGAAUUUCAACGUGGUGUGCUAUGAGAAAGGGGUGCCGAACGGUGUUUCGAUGCUCGAUGUUGAAGUGAAACGAAGAACGAGAAAAGCAGUGAAGUGGUGAAAUUUGUUGAAAAUGGUAAACGUCGUAACGAACGGUGAUGUGACGCGAACAUUAUGAAUCAUCGUCACGAACCACUAACGAAAUUUUAAGUAAUAUUACUGUUUCGCGUAUUCGCGAUAGACAUUUCAAAUAAUAUUUGUACAUAAUUUAGGACGCUCCGAGUGUUGACGCCAGUGACGAUUUUCAGAAAUACAACAAAAAAAGACAGUCGCAUUUAAAGAACAAUCAAAUGAACAAAUUAAAAAGCAAAAAGAUAUAUUGAAAGAAGAAAAACAACAGAUAAAUAUACUUGGAACUCGUUGUCAAAGUUUUUAGCCAUCAUCGUCAAGAGAGCGAGAGAGAGGGAGAGAGAGAGAGAGAGAAAGAGAGAGAGAGAGAGAAAGGAAGAGAAAGAGAGAGAGAGAGAGCGUAUAUUAUUUAUUGUAAAUAUUAUAACAAUGAUAUAUAUACAUAUAUAUGAAUUCGCGAUACGUAUGCGCGUAGGUGUUUACAAAAUGAUGAACAAUUGCCUUGACCGUCGCGUUCUCGUUGUCCCGUUACCCUCGCGAUUUCGAGCAUCGCGGCACCACCCGCGCUCCAUAUUGAUUUUUACUACCACGAUCAAGAAAAUAGAGCUCGAGACGAAGAAAACAUUCGUCGAGUCUUGUGUCGCGUUUGAUCCGUCGAAAUCGGCCGCGAAUUCGAAGGCGUCGCGAGGCGAACGGGAACGAGGCCGAGAAAUAUCAUGAAUUAGCGAAUUGUUGUUGAACGUUAAAGUAGCCCAUCUUCAACUAUUUUGCGCGAGAGAGUACGUGUGCGUGUGUGCGUGAGAAAGAAGGAGAGAAGUGAAGUGCUAACUAUAUCGACUGUCGUAUAUUGUGAUUCUGUUAGUUUUUAUUUAAUUGUCGAAAAACCUCACGAAUCGGAUGUUUACGCGUAAGGGGACAGCCGUGUACGAUUUAGAAUCUUUUAUUCUCUUUAUCAACUUGCACUCGACUUUCAACGGAACGCUCGUUUUUUUAACGUGAAUAUUUACUGAACGAACCGCCCACGUAAUUCUUUCAUACAGCGGACACGACGUCCGUGAUAUUCGCAUCUCGUUUUGUCGCGGGACUCGCCGCGGAAACCGUGUACCGCGCGAUACACACUGCUGACGAACCUUUCGGGAAAGGAAGCGUGAAACGACGCUCGACCUCGGGCAACGAACGAGGCGAACGAUCGUGAAACUCACAAUCGAUUUUAUAUCUCUUAAUUCUCAUGUUAUGUGUUCGAUCUUUGUCUGUGCAUUUGUCUGGUCACUUGUGAACACAAUUCGAUGAGCAUGCACGUGUACGUAGAAAAUAUCUAUAGCAUUAAACACUUGAUUAACGAACGUGAUUUUCUUUUCGCUGAUUGUGCUUGCAACAUGUAAAUUCUCUUUACAAGGAAAAAAAGAAAAGAAAGGAAAGAAAAGUGGGAAUAGAGAAAGAAUAACCGGGGAAAAGGACGAGAAAAAUAAUCAUUGAUUACAAAGACAAAUAGGAAAAAGGGGAAUUACUCGAGUCGAAGAUUAGAAAUAACCUGCGAAUUUAACUGCUUCGAACAAGAUACUAAUACGCUCUGCUUUUGGAUUGCACGUAUACAUUCAGUAAGAAAUACAAUUACCUGUGGUCGUCCAUUUUUAUCACAAGAAAUUGAGUUCGUUCCCUUACAUCGCUUCACUUCUCGUUUGUUACUCUUUAAAAGGUACUCUCCUUGGAUAUUGAUCGACGUCACUGAAAUAGAGUCACCGUUUUUCUUUCGGAGAUACCGCAGAAUAGCUACUUUGAUAUCAUGUUGGGGUUUAAAAUUUGCCAACGAAUUAAAUUUUUUUUAGAUACUAAUAUCUCCUUUUCUUUAUGAUGCUCAAAUAGAACAUUUCAGAUAUUAAAAUUAGAAUUUCCAAGUUUUUCUAAGUCAGUGACUUCGACAUCGAUAUCUUGAAAUUGUCUACGCUUAUAAAAUUCGAUGUCACGCUACUGUGCUUUCAAUUCUCUCGCGACGAUUCUCAUUUUCUUCUUGUCAUUGCACUCUGCCAUAUUAUCCACUAUCGCCACGCGAAAAUUCUACAAAAUUCUACAGAGUCCAAAGCAAGAGCAGAACAGUGAAAUGUAAUCACGAUAUAAGGGCUUAGCUUCGAGAAUGAAACAGAGACGAGACGGACGAAAUAGUGAGAAACUCGAUUAUUUUGCGGCGAAUUCUAUAGAUAGGAGGAACCAUCUGGUAACCGGGUAAUCGAUCGACCAUUAUUACGUGGAGAAUGUAUAAAAAAAGAGGCGAUAUCUUAUCAUAUCUAUAACAUGCUUGAAUUAGUGGACAGAACGUGCAGCAUGGGAAUAAAAAAAAGAAGCUUUUUUACUCGUGGAGAUAAAAAAAAAGAUACAAACCAAACGUAGAGCUCUAUCAGACGCGACGGCGUGUAAUGUAAACUAUCAAGUGACGAAACGAAGAAAAAAAUUACUAUUGUAAGACAAUUUCUAAAUAAAACAUUUUGCAAGUGCAUGACUUAUAUUAGUAGGCUCUUGGAACAAUGACUACAUAAUUAAUCACACAGCAAAGUAUAAACUCUGUAUUAGUGGCUAACACUUGAUAAGGGGAAAAAAUAUACAAGACGAAUUAUGUAAUACGUUCAGUUUGUAAUCCGCUGGUUACUUGCAGUUGUAAGAUCCUUCGCGAAAUUUGUUCGACCUUUAUGUCGUUGGAAUUACUACCAUUUUUUUCUUUUAUUAAUUUAUAUUUCAUUCAUAAAUGAAAUGAUAGCGUAUAAAAAUUCAAUUCGAUGAAAUUAAAGUAGCUUGAACGUUUUUAUUCUCUCCUUUAAUAUUUGUUAUAAUAUAUUUGUUAUGUGGUAAAAUUGCACGAAAAAGUUUCGCGAAGAACUUAUCGUUGCGAUACUAUUAACGCUUACGAUAUAAAAUACUGCAUAUCCUAUACAAACGUAGGACCUUUAUAAUUAGUAGCCGGUUUUAAGAAAUUCUAAACGAGAGAAAGAGCAAAAGAGCAAGGGAAAAGAAAACGGGUUUACUUUAAUAUAAUAACAUUGAUAAAGUAAUUCGGAGAACUAUGACAAGAACAUCGGCAAAUUCUCGUAGGAAAUUGCGCUAGAAAUUUUGAAGGGAGUCAAAAGCGAAAACCAGCUGGCUAGAUGUGAAGAAUGAUAAAUCAGAUAUAUUGUGUUUCAUUUAACGUAAUUUUGAUCUAAUUUCUCCCUUGACUUUCUUCGCAGCAUCAAUUUGUUAUUUGCUAUUUGUUUAUUUGAGUAUCUUUUAAAUUAUUUUAUUAAAAAAUAUGUUCAAUAAAAGAAAAGAAAAUUCUAUUUUCUCUAAACUAAAAUGUGAUGAGCGCAUAACUUAUUUACCAUUUGCUUUGAAAAUCGUCAAGUGUUGCUGAAGAAAAACAAUGCAAGUGGACGAACAACGCGAAGGGAGCCAAGGUGAAGCUUGUUAAUUUUCACACUCUUGCCAUGCCCAUUUGUACAUAGGCAUGCUCAAUCUUAGGAUCGAACACGCAUCGUGAAUCACAUAUAUAUUAUAUAUACACAUAUACAUAUAAAUAGUAUUAACUACGGAAACGAACAAAUUAAUAUCCAACUUUGUACCUAUAUACUUACAAAUUAACUUAAACGAAAACGAAAAAGAGGGUUGGAAGGGAGAUAAAAAAAAAGAAAAGAAAUACUUUCGAACAAAUAUAAUCGAGUCGAAUAAAAAACAAUGGCUGAUACGAGAUAGAAGGGGGCGUCAUAUUGAGAAAAAAAAGAGAAAAUAAAUUAAAUGCAAAGAGAGAUAGAAUGAGUAAAUAAUAAGAAUUACACGGAAUGCAGAAAAUCUGAGAGCCAAGGGGUACCACUUUUGUCAAAUUUAGAGAGCCAAUUUAGGUUUACGAUUAUGAUAUAGGAUAUGCGAGGAAGAACGAGUGCGAGAAUAGAAAGAAAGAAAGAAAGAAAGGAGAAGCAGGGAAACAAGACAAAAAACAGAGGGACAUUGUCAACGAUUUCUUUACAAUGAAAUUCAUUACUUACUUAAAAAAUUCGUAGAGACGAUCCAGCGUAGCAUAGAAGUGUUUCUGUAAUCGCGUCGAACGGUAUCUCGAUCGAUCGCGUGCCUCGAAUUCGUCACAUUUACACUGAAUUUCGGCAAAGUCGUGCACAAACGAACAUGUAAUAAUCGCACUGAAUAAGAUCGUUUCGACGGAACUCAGGAAUACUUAAAUAGACAUUUGUCAAAUGCCUCAAUCACGCGACUUCCGGAUACAUACCUCUGAUUCACGUAGUCUGCCGUGAGUGUCGCUCGCGACGUAAUCGACGCACGCUAUCGAUCGUACGAUCACGCGGACACCGAUUCUCGAAUAUCGAUGAGGCAAACUUCAUACCGUUCGAAUAGCGCGCGUUUUACCGCCCGAAACGGUUUCUAAUUUAUCUGUACGAGAUGAAAUCUGUCCGGAUUUAUUUCGAAAAGGAACACGGAGGAGUACGGGCGAGAGAGCGAGGAAGAAAGAAAGCCAGAGAGCGAGGAAGAGAGAAAGGUAGAGAGCGAGGAAGAGAGAAAGGCGGAGAGCUAGGACGAGAGAAAGGCAGAGAGCAAGGACGAGAGAAAGGCAGAGAGCGUGGGAUAUCACGAGAAAAAAAGGUGCGUCAUUUUCGUUAAAAAAAAGAUGAGAGAGAGAGAAAGAGAGAGA
Molecule: RNA transcript, 12200 nt
Organism: Bombus impatiens (common eastern bumble bee)
Lineage: Eukaryota; Metazoa; Arthropoda; Insecta; Hymenoptera; Apidae
Gene: Rim
Gene name: regulating synaptic membrane exocytosis protein 2
Exons: 26
Source: RefSeq, a predicted model, not a curated record